AAAUACUCAAAACACGCAUAAAACGCUUUCACUAACUGCGUACGUUACGCUAAUAUGCCAGCAAUACCAUAUAAGAGAAAUAAGUAAAAAGUUAUAGCUAAUUUGCUCGUUUAAUCAUGUUAAUGUUUCACAAUUCAUAUACAUUUGAUUUUUCCGUUUCAUACUCAACUAAAGCCGAAUGAAUACAAUGCUAUAAUUGAUAGACAUUCAUAUGAAUAUUAAUAAGAUAGCAACAUGUUGAUAAUCAUUCAUUAGAUAUAAAUAAAAGAUACAAAGUAAAUCGUUUCUGGCCAGUCUAUACCCUUUUUAAGGGAUAAACGUGAUGAUAUUUUCCAUUCCGUUCCGUUUUCCGUUCCGCGUUUUAGCAACACCCAUACAUACAUGUCUGUGUUUUCCGUAUGCAGAAAAGGAUUACGGUAGUUAAGAUCAGCUAAAGGAAUUCAUUAUUGUGUUUUAAUUGGAUUAUCAUUAUGAUGUUGACCAAUUUAGGGUUUAGUAUCUACAUUGCCACAUGGACGCACAUCCUAUGAAAGGUAUGGCGCUGAUCAUCAAAGAAGGGGAAAAACUCUCCACCCAAAACCUCUGAAAGGCUUUCCACACUGCGGAGAUUUUACAUGGACAAUAAAUGAGUCCCUAGGGGUAACAAACGACGGUCUAGCAACUUUGGGAUCGAAACGAAACUCAACCACCAAUGAUGAUAUCAAAAAAAAAGAAGCAAGACGAAGAUUAAGACGACUUUAGAAACGGCUGUUUUUCUCAUUGUCGUCUUUGGAACAGUUGCUUUAGUGUUAUGUUUAAUCAAAAGUAUUAAAAGUAAACAUGUUAAAGGGAAGAAUGAACUCGGAGAUCCAUAUUGCUUGCUAGGACAGGACAAGGAAUUCAAUUCCAAGCUGUACGGUUCUUUUGAAAUACAUUAGGUAUAUGAUGGCUUUAUAUGAAGAAAAUGCAAACCUUUUAAAAUUACAUAAUAAACAUAUUUUACAUAUAUAUUUCUACUUGUACCAACACUACCUUUUCUCUAUUAAUUAUAAACUAAUAGGAUAAUAAAGAUAUCUUAGUUCUCCUUAAAGUUGGCAUUGUUAUUUUUUCAAAAUUCAAAUGAGCAAAUAUAAUCAAUCAAAAUGAUGUCAUUUUUGAUUGUAUGUUUUAGCAGAAAAAAAUGUAUGCCCAUUCAAUGAGCUU
Magallana angulata is the source of this 1182-nucleotide long non-coding RNA. RefSeq lists it as uncharacterized. The record is from RefSeq and is a predicted model, not a curated record. NCBI's taxonomy places the organism in Eukaryota, Metazoa, Mollusca, Bivalvia, Ostreida, Ostreidae. The transcript has 3 exons.